UUUUAUAACAAUUAGAGAGAGAAGAACAAAAUUCACGGACACCCCCUUUCUCUUAGCAACCUAACCAUAAACGCAAUCAACCAUCACCAUCCCUCGUCGCCGAACUCUUCUCCUCUAGUAGAGGAUGCUGUCGCCACCGAUGGAGACAGAUCGUGAGUGUCAUCACACUCUUCUCAUCGCCGAACUCUUCUUAGCUCUCAUCGUUCCUCUUCUCUCUCUCUCUCCCUCUCUCUCUCUCUCUCUCUCUCUCUCUGCGAAACAAUGAAGAAGGUGAGGAGUCGCCGAAGGUAUAUUCGCCAAGAACACCGACACCGGAGACAGCAUUGCCAUUAAGGUCAUGGCUAAAUCCACCAUUCUCAAGCAUAGAAUGGUUGAACAGGUUGAAUUUAUAUCAGCCACAAAUACAAGGAAGAUGUGAAACUCAUGGUGGGAACAGGCCUUGAUGCUUAUAGGUUAUCCAUUUCUUGGUCAAGAUUGAUUCCAAAAGAGACUUCAUAAAUUAUGCAGAAGUGUGUUUCAGAGAGUUCGGUGACAGAGUCUUAUAUUGGAAUACUAUGAACGAGCCGAACGUGUUUACCAUAGGUGGUUAUGAUCAAGAAACAACCCCACCUAUACGAUAUUCGCCCCCAUUUUGCCAGAAAUAUAAUAGCAGUAGGGGUGACUCCACAACUGAGCCUUAGUUGGCAGUUCAUCAUAUUUUGCUAUCACAUUCUUCAGUAGUGAGAUUGUAUAGAAGAAAGUAUAAGAUUAUUCUUCCUGCAAAUGAUACAGAUGAAGACUGGGCAGCCACUCAAAGAGCCCAUGAUUUUUUUAUUAUUGAGUCCUUACAAGAUGCCUUGAAGCAAUUAUAUCUGAUUGAUGCUAUUGAUGAAAAUGGUGCAAUUACAAGUAUUGGACAGAAAAUGGCUGAGCUUCCAUUAGAACCUUCCUUAUCACGAACCUUGAUGGAGGCAAAUGAUUAUGGUUGCAUACCUAAGGCUUUGACUGUUGCUGCCAUGUUAUCAGCUGAAACUACAUUGCUACCAGGGUGGAGGUCAACAGACACAAAGGAAUUCAUCACUUCAAGAUGUGACAAGAGUGGAAUACUUGCAUGUAUAUAUUGGUGCUGUGCUUGAUUCCAUAAGGUAAUGCAGUUGCUAGUUUUUUGUGGUUUGAAAAAAAAAUGAGAGCUUAUUUUUCUUGAGUUACUACUCUAUUUAGCUUAUUUAAAAAGUAAAGAUAGACCUUAUGAAAUUUUGGUUACAUAACAUGUGAAAACUGGUUUUUGGCUAACAAGUUACCUUAAAGUAGCCGAUUCAGUUGGAUCCAGAAUAGUUUGAUUCUAAAAGGCUCAUAGUGCUAAUGAAUUAGACCCUCGUAAAAGGAAAACACAAUUGCUUUAUGUGUGUAUAUUUUUCUCAUUUGAUCCUAAAUUUUUCUUUUCAGAGAUUGAUCAAACAUAAAGGGAUACUUUGCAUGGUCUUUCAUGGAUGUAUUUGAAUUUUUGGAUUUUGGUUUAAGUGUUUGAAAUGCUUUCUGCAGAGCUUCAUUAAGAUUAUGUUUGCAUAUAUCCUGAAGACAUAUCUCUUGGCUUAGUUUUACAGGUACUUACUAGAUUAAUUGUGGUCAUAAAAUAAUUUUUAAUAUAUAUGAAUUGAUGUUUAUAAAUUUAUUUUUUUUAAAAGAGUAAUGGUGUUGUGCGAAAGUUUCAUGAGUAAUGAUCUUCUGAGUAGGUUUACAAUUGAAGGCUUGAACAUUCACAUUAAUUAGACUGCAGCAGCCUUUAAUGAUUGAUUCAUUCAUUCAAAUUGUAAAUGGAAGGUUUCAGAAUGAACUUGGUAAUCUCAUGGUCCCUCAAUUCAAUAAAUAUUUUUAAUU
This is a non-coding RNA of Arachis ipaensis, 1857 nucleotides long. The record is from RefSeq and is a predicted model, not a curated record. NCBI's taxonomy places the organism in Eukaryota, Viridiplantae, Streptophyta, Magnoliopsida, Fabales, Fabaceae.